UACGUAGGGUCCGAGCGUUGUCCGGAAUUAUUGGGCGUAAAGAGCUCGUAGGCGGUCUGUCGCGUCGGCUGUGAAAACUCAGGGCUCAACCCUGAGCCUGCAGUCGAUACGGGCAGACUAGAGUUCGGUAGGGGAGACUGGAAUUCCUGGUGUAGCGGUGAAAUGCGCAGAUAUCAGGAGGAACACCGGUGGCGAAGGCGGGUCUCUGGGCCGAAACUGACGCUGAGGAGCGAAAGCGUGGGGAGCAAAAGGG
This 253-nucleotide ribosomal RNA is filed under the name uncultured bacterium. RNAcentral's name for it is "partial 16S ribosomal RNA". It matches the Rfam family "Bacterial small subunit ribosomal RNA", at positions 524 to 776 of the family's 1533-position model. The record is from RNAcentral.